RNAcentral lists this long non-coding RNA (2114 nucleotides) under Gallus gallus (chicken). Its description in RNAcentral is "lncRNA (ENSGALG00010017159.1)". The record is from RNAcentral. Lineage: Eukaryota; Metazoa; Chordata; Aves; Galliformes; Phasianidae.
AUUUAGUCACAUCACGGGAAAAUAAUUUCUCCUUUGUAGAUAGAUGAAUUGUGUGUGGAAUUAAAGCAGGAACGUCCAACCUUUUGGUUUACCUGGGCUGCUUUGAGUGAAGAGGAAUGUCUUGGGCUGCAUGUGAAAUAUGUAAUGUAGUUAAUAUAAUUGUUUAAAAUGGAAGAGACGUUCUCUGAAAGUGAAUGUUAAGCGUUUCUACUUGAAGACCUGAGGAGAAUUCUACUGUUCCUUCGUGUUCUUGUUUUGAUGACUCCAAUAAGCAGUCCACCAGUCUUCUGUGAAAGGAAGCAAAGGAGCAAAAUACUUGUGAAUUAUCAUGUUAUUUAUCUUUCACAGUGUCUUUUCCCUUCACUACUGUAUCUGCCUGGUCUGCUUAGUCUGGAUUUUAAGCUGUGGGGUAGCUAUUGUUAUUCUCUGCACAGUGCCUGUUGCAGCUGGAUUGGCUUUGUAUCUGAGUGUUCUUGCAUUAUGUGCUUCUCUUAUAAAUAAUAAAAUGGAAUAAGGGAGGUCGUGGAAGAAUCUUGCUGUAAAAGAAUUGUACUUAUCACCUCAUACGUUCUACUUAGGUACAGUUUUGAAUUGGCUCACUCAAAGAGGUGCAAGAUGUACAGCAGUGAACAGCAGUGCUUUUUGUAAAAGUGAGUGUAGUUUUGAAGCUAGAGGUAUUGCAGUGAAAAUGAAAUAGAGCGAAUUUGCAAGAAUGAAACACCAGGGAGUCAUAUACUUCUUGAAAUUUAUUAAAGAGCCAAAGUUAAGUGUUUUGGUUAAAUAUUUUCUAUUUUAGUUUUGACAUGCUCCCAGCUUUCUUAAAUGGGCAGGCUGUAGAUGUUCCAAUGUUAGCCAAGUGUAGCAGUGGCAAGAAUUAUUAAUGAUACCGCCAAUUACAGAAAUUUCAGUCAGAAAUGUGAUUACUAAGUAGCUAGCAUUCAUUGAGUAUGUUGAAUGAGUUCUACACACAAGUGAAAUAGUCAAUAUAUUAAAAGAGUAUUUUACCCAUAAAUAGACUGAAAGACAGAUUGUCUUGUGUGCAGUCAUAGAUUCUCCUUGGGGUUUACUCUUUCACAACAAAAACUUGCCUAUGCUUUGUGUAUCUGCACAACCUGUAAGUACCUCGUAAUUCUACUGGCUGUAAAGCUGGUGCUCUGAAACUUCGUUUCUACCUAGAAAGGGAAUGAGUAUUUCUGUGCCUUGUGCCAGCCAUGUAAGGUGUUGUUAGUAGCGCCCUUCAGAUUCUGUGUAAUGCCACACACAACUUUGCACUUUACCACAACAAUGGAAACUAUUUUUUUUUUUCUUGAAAGUGUUGAAAUUUGGCUGCAUGGGCUAUGGUGGUUUUUGUUUGUUUGUUUUGGCCAUUGAACAUAUUGUUCCAGCCAUAUCUCUUCAGUGUACCUGAUCUAGUUAAAAUUCAACAUUCUGUAGGCUCCUGGUUUAGCAGGACAAUUUAAAACCUCUUAAAUCAGGAAUAAACUGAAAAGAUUGUAAAAAGUAAUUUUUUAAGAAUGAGAUGUAUAAAAAAUUGUUUCCAAGUGAUCUAGAAAAGGAGACAAGACUGUGAAAAACUUGCCAGAGAUUUUUCCUCUUGCUUAAAACCUUGCUUGUGUUUACUAAAUAUUUUGUCUUCCUAGGGAUUAAAGAUCAUCUUUAUUCCACCAUCUCUGUAUUUCUGAAUUUGGCACUCCAGAACAGCUGUAAUUUUUCCAGCAUGAAAUGUAUGGAACUUUCCUUAAAGCAUUAUUUUGGACAACUGUCCUAGCUUGUGGCAUCAAGAGCUUUUUUCAGGAUAAUACAGUCUAAAAUCUUUCAGGACUUUCCUGGAUCCUUUAAUGGUCUUUGGAUCAUGCCCUGGUGUGGGGAGAGCAAGGAUUAGGUGGGCUGAGUGUAACAAAAAGCACUCACUCACAGUGCUAAAACAGAUGUGUGCUUUAGUGUAUCUAGAGUCAAAAUCCUUUGUAAACUUGAGCAUUGUGUAGAGGGUAUUAUUUACCAAGCAUACAGUGUGAAACAAGGUUUUAGUUGGUAGCGCCACAAAACAACUGAGUAUAUGCUGAAGAGUUAUAGAAUGCAUUUUACUUCAGAAGUAAAUAUAUUAAGGGAUAAUC